RNAcentral lists this ribosomal RNA (115 nucleotides) under Danio rerio (zebrafish). Lineage: Eukaryota; Metazoa; Chordata; Actinopteri; Cypriniformes; Danionidae. The record is from RNAcentral.
GCCGGCAGCUAGCUCUCUGCAACUCUCACGUAGUCGCCCACUGAAGCUAAGCAGGGCUGCGCCCAGUCACUACCUGGAUGGGAGACCACAUAGGAAAGCUAGGUUGCUGCCGGAA